This 464-nucleotide ribosomal RNA is filed under the name Vreelandella stevensii. RNAcentral's name for it is "partial 16S ribosomal RNA". It matches the Rfam family "Bacterial small subunit ribosomal RNA", at positions 339 to 795 of the family's 1533-position model. The record is from RNAcentral. Lineage: Bacteria; Pseudomonadati; Pseudomonadota; Gammaproteobacteria; Oceanospirillales; Halomonadaceae.
CUACGGGUGGCUGCAGUGGGGAAUAUUGGACAAUGGGGGCAACCCUGAUCCAGCCAUGCCGCGUGUGUGAAGAAGGCCCUCGGGUUGUAAAGCACUUUCAGUGAGGAAGAACGCCUGGUGGUUAAUACCCAUCAGGAAAGACAUCACUCACAGAAGAAGCACCGGCUAACUCCGUGCCAGCAGCCGCGGUAAUACGGAGGGUGCGAGCGUUAAUCGGAAUUACUGGGCGUAAAGCGCGCGUAGGUGGCUUGAUAAGCCGGUUGUGAAAGCCCCGGGCUCAACCUGGGAACGGCAUCCGGAACUGUCAAGCUAGAGUGCAGGAGAGGAAGGUAGAAUUCCCGGUGUAGCGGUGAAAUGCGUAGAGAUCGGGAGGAAUACCAGUGGCGAAGGCGGCCUUCUGGACUGACACUGACACUGAGGUGCGAAAGCGUGGGUAGCAAACAGGAUUAGAUACCCUAGUAGUC